Molecule: ribosomal RNA, 420 nt
Filed under: uncultured bacterium
Lineage: Bacteria
Description: bacterial SSU rRNA
Rfam family: Bacterial small subunit ribosomal RNA
Source: RNAcentral
AAUUUUGGACAAUGGGCGCAAGCCUGAUCCAGCCAUGCCGCGUGUCUGAAGAAGGCCUUCGGGUUAUAAAGGACUUUUGUCCGGGAGCAAAUGCCUGGUGUUAAUAGCAUCGGGAGCUGAGAGUACCGGAAGAAUAAGCACCGGCUAACUACGUGCCAGCAGCCGCGGUAAUACGUAGGGGGCUAGCGUUGUCCGGAAUCAUUGGGCGUAAAGAGCGUGUAGGCGGCCCGGUAAGUCCGCUGUAAAAGUCAAAGGCUCAACCUUUGAAUGUCAGUGGAUACUGCCGGGCUAGAGUCCGGAAGAGGCGAGUGGAACUCCUGGUGUAGCGGUGGAAUGCGCAGAUAUCAGGAAGAACACCAACGGCGAAGGCAGCUCGCUGGGACGGUACUGACGCUGAGACGCGAAAGCGUGGGGAGCGAA